GGAUCACUUUGCAUGGAUGAAAAAUUAAAACUACAGUGGAGACCCUGAAUCAUCCCUCCUGGAAACCACAGGAGAGUUGGGAAUGAGAGGUUGGGAAGUGUCGUGAUGCUGCCCAAGAGCUUCUAAAAGUGCUACGGAGACAACCUGUCAGUGGAGAUCCAAGCUGUCCUCUGAAUUGACGAUAAAGAUGGAUGGCAAACAGCCCUACCCUGAGAACAUGUUGGGGUUACUACGCUUCAUACGCAACCUCCAUGAGCACUAUGCUGAGGAUUUAGAAUUGGUUGACCUAAUGAAGAUGCUCCCUGAUCUCUUUGGAUGUGUCUACAUGUUGGCCAAGAAAAAGGGCUGGAAUUCAAGGCCUGGGCUGAAAAACGUAUUUCAGAAAGAUCUAAGCUCAUGGUUCUGAAAUGUAAAUUGUCAUGUGAAGUGAUGCAAUAUGACCUAUUGUAGUACUUUUGACUUUUGUAGGUAGAGCCACUGAUCUUAACUGUUUUAAGAACAUUUUAUAUUCUAUAUCUUCACAGAUCUAAACCAUAUGAUUUUUACGAAUCUUACAUGGUUAUAGCCUACAUAUUAUGGUUGUUCAUAUGAAAAUACAGUACACACAAAGCUUUGAUAAAAAUUAGUGGUUACUUUUUUACUUCAGUUAAGGUAUACAGGAUUUGUAUUAAUAUAAAUAUCUGUAUGAGAUUUCAGGGAUGUCUGGAUCAAAGUAUUGACAUCCUAUUUUAUCUGUUUUGCUUGAUAUGAAGUCUGCCCAAGAGUACAUUGAAACAGGAUUGUAUUUCUUAAAUCUGUGAUCUAUCAAUGGAGGAGCUGUGAUGCUCUCGUGGAUAGAACUGUGACGGUUACAAAUGUAGUGUUGAUCAGCAACAGUUUUCUAUUAACCACCCUAAAAUGUUAAUGCACCUCUCAAAGAGCAAUAUAAAACUGCCAUUUUUUUGACACACCCAGACUUUCCCGCCCACCUGCAACAGCUGGUGUAGAGUAAACAAACUAGUAUGCAGUAGGAACAAAACAUUGUCCUCUUUCUGGUAUAAAGCCACACAUCCAGCACCAGAUCAACCACAAUGAAAAGCCGACCUCCGAGUCACCAGGAAUUCUGACAGAGGGUAGUAGAACUACUGUCACCUGUGAUGCCAGGUGGUCGCUUAGCCCACCCGGUUAGAUGGAAAUCAUACCAAUCACACCAUUCAGGUGACUGUGAUUGACAUGCUGUGUUAAAUGUAACUGCAUGUUUUAUUGUUAUUUUUGGGUUAAAGGAAGCAUUCUGUACAUUUCUGUUGAAUUGUUAGAUGUAAUAUAUAGGCCAUUCUUGCGUGUCAUUUACCAUUUAUGUGACGGUGAGGAGAACCUGACGUGAGCCUGGUAUACCCCAACCUGAGUCUAAUGGAAUCGACAGGUUCGCUUCAAGUAUUGUAUUAUCAUUGACCUGUUAGGGUGUUUGUAAAUAUAAAUUUAGAUUAUUUUGUAAAUAUUGUCAUUUGAACAUCUAAAUUGUCAUUUUUUUUUAAAUAAAUAACUUCUGCACGUGAUCCUGCCUGCCUCCUGCACCAUUUAACCGUCCAAAAAUAGAUUUAGCAACAAAGGAUUUAGGGCCUACAUUCAACAUGCAAGAAGCGAUAAGUUAGGCUUACAUCUUAGAUGGAAGGGCAUAGUACAAAAUGAAUAGCAUGCAUUUCAAUCUACAGUUUGGUUUAAAAAGCUGUGGCUAAAAAUAAUUGUAUCCAUUAGUGUACAUUGUCUAAAACAAACCAAAGAAGGGGUUACAACUUCGGAGUCAUUUCCGGUCACUGCCGCUGGACCAGAUGCAAUGUGGAACAGGGAGUUGUAGUUCUUCACAGAAAGCGUAGGUGUAUUCGAACCAUUGUAGUUCCUAAGCACUGACAUUUAAACGUUUUUGUUCUGGAAUCACAAUCAUGAAGCACCCCUUAAAUGUAUUGUCUCUACCUUCUUGCCCUUUGUGCUGUUGUCUGUGCCCAAUAAUGUUUGCACCAUGUUAUGUUCUGUUGCUACCAUGCUGUGUUAUGUGUUGCUGCCUUGCUAUGUGGUCUUAGGUCUCUCACAACAAGUGUUGUGUUGUCUCGUUGUGAUGUGUUUUGUCCUAUAUUUAUGUUAUUUAUUUAAAAUGUUUAAUCCCCGUCCCCGCAUGAGGUAUUUUGCCUUUUGGUAGGCCAUCAUUGUAAAUAAGAACUGUAAAACUGACUUGCCUAGUAAAUAAAGGUUAAAUAAAAUAAAUAAAAAUUAAACAUGACAAUGUUCUCACUACAAUUUCGAACUUAAAGUGGUGAACUUUUUAAUAAAUAGGCCUAUAGGCUUUUAGCUAGGGUUGAAUAUACUCAACAGUAAACUUUGGAAACAGCUUGAUUGUACUACUAGACACCGUUUACCCCUUUUUCUCCGCACUUGGUAGUUACAGUCUUGACCCAUCACUGCAACUCCCGUACGGACUCGGGAGAGGUGAAGGUCGAGAGCCAUGCGUCUUCCGAAACAUGACCCUUCCGAAACAUGACCCGAGCCGCACU
Molecule: long non-coding RNA, 2525 nt
Filed under: Oncorhynchus mykiss (rainbow trout)
Lineage: Eukaryota; Metazoa; Chordata; Actinopteri; Salmoniformes; Salmonidae
Description: lncRNA (ENSOMYG00000068348.1)
Source: RNAcentral